RNAcentral lists this ribosomal RNA (527 nucleotides) under uncultured bacterium. Its description in RNAcentral is "bacterial SSU rRNA". It matches the Rfam family "Bacterial small subunit ribosomal RNA", at positions 28 to 526 of the family's 1533-position model. The record is from RNAcentral.
GACGAACGCUGGCGGCGUGCCUAAUACAUGCAAGUUGAACGCUAAAGCUUUAACUGGUGCUUGCACCGACUUAAGUUUUUAGAGUAGCGGACGGGUGAGUAACACGUGGGUAACCUGCCCAUCAGAGGGGGAUAACACUUGGAAACAGGUGCUAAUACCGCAUAAUUCCUUUUACCGCAUGGUAAAAGGCUGAAAGGCGCUUCUGGUGUCACUGAUGGAUGGACCCGCGGUGCAUUAGCUAGUCGGUGGGGUAACGGCCUACCGAGGCGAUGAUGCAUAGCCGACCUGAGAGGGUGAUCGGCCACAUUGGGACUGAGACACGGCCCAAACUCCUACGGGAGGCAGCAGUAGGGAAUCUUCGGCAAUGGACGAAAGUCUGACCGAGCAACGCCGCGUGUGUGAUGAAGGCUUUCGGGUCGUAAAGCACUGUUGUAUGGGAAGAACGGGUUUAAGAGGAAAUGCUUAAGCAGUGACGGUACCAUACCAGAAAGGGACGGCUAAAUACGUGCCAGCCGCCGCCGUAAAAC